Non-coding RNA from Durio zibethinus, 1510 nucleotides. Lineage: Eukaryota; Viridiplantae; Streptophyta; Magnoliopsida; Malvales; Malvaceae. The record is from RefSeq and is a predicted model, not a curated record.
AAUUCGAUUUUUUGAAAAGGAAAAUUGCUUAAAAUCAUAUGGUCAAAGCUACUCAUUUACCAGAGUCAAUGGCAAUCAUGCCCUUUCGCCCAUCACAUCACAUUGAUCAUAAUUGUUUCCAUGGACAAAGACUUGCCAAACAAAUCUGACGGAGUCCAAUCUGGCUGUCAUCCGUAACUUCGAGACCGGCAGUUACUUUUUUACCGGCAUCUAACACAACGAUGACCUUCUUGAUACCAAUAAUAUUUCCAAAACCCUAACUAAACCCCCAAAUUUUCAAAAACCUAAUUCACUCUUUAACUUUCUUCUCAUUUCAAUUGGGGUUCCUUUCGUUGUAUUCCUCUCUAGAUUUUUGGCUCCUCUCUGUCUACGAUAUGCCAAAGGUCACGCAAAUGGAAAGUCUACCCUCAAACGAUGUCGCCUUGGACAGUUUCUUGAGCUUUGCACUGCAAGCUAUGGUUGUCGAGGCCGCCAUUGUUGCUACAAAGUCUGUCACUUGGUUGCUGAUGACGAUGGGAACUCUGCCUAAUGGAAUUGAUGUCUUCGUCAAAGAGCCUGAAGCAUAUGCAGGGUUUCCACUUGCUCAGCAUCUUGCGGUGGGGAAACCUGGUCCAGAGACUAAGGAUGCUGGUGACACUGAGGAUGAUAAUGAUGAAGAAGAUGAAGUAGCAAAUGAUCAAGAUGAAGAUGGAGGUGAGGAGGAAGAUGGAUCUGGUGAAGAUGGUGAAGACGAAGGGGAUCCAGAGGAUGGACCUGAGGCCAAUGGGGAUGGUGGCAGUGGAGAUGAGGAUGACGACGAGGAUGAGGAGGAAGAGGAUGAUGACGAUGAUGGCGAGGAAGAGGAGGAAGAAGAGGAAGAGGAGGAGGAAGAACUUCAGCCACCAGCUAAAAAGCGGAAAUGAGCUUGGAUCUCUUUUUCUUGUUUCCUAUGGUGUAGUGGCAAGUUAGGAUGGGCAGAUUCAGGUUGCGGACUAAGGUUAUUCCUUAGAGGAUUACAUAAUGAAUCACCACAUGAAGGAUGGUCCUGCCUCUGGUUGUUUCCAACCGUGCUCUGGUUUAAGCCCCUAGCUUUUUACAAGAUUCCAACCGGAGGGUUAGUAAUUUCUGAAUAAUGUUCAAUGUUUCUUCAGGGAAAAAAGGGGUGGUUUAAAAGUAACAUGGAGAGGUGAAAGGAUAAAUAAAACUCUUCCCAAUCUUUGACUAACUGAAUUCUCUAGAAUUGGAGGAAAUAUGAAACAGAGCUAAAGCCAUCCCCAAAUUUUGUAAACAAGAACGGAUAUUACAUCGGCUAACUGUUGAGCUUAGUGCCGUUUUAGUAAGUUCUUAUAUCUGUAAGAUCCAUUUAGAGAGUGGGGGAAUGCCCUUGAUAUGCUUGCGGGUCAACGGUCAGUGACCUUAUUGUUAUUGACAGAUUGUAGUUUCCUAGCUUUUACUUCUCUUGGCUGCUUGUAGCCUUCAUUUCUUGUUGGUAAAGUUGCUUAAGUUAUUCAAAGUCAAAAGACACCCAUUU